This 468-nucleotide ribosomal RNA is filed under the name uncultured bacterium. Its description in RNAcentral is "partial 16S ribosomal RNA". It matches the Rfam family "Bacterial small subunit ribosomal RNA", at positions 28 to 507 of the family's 1533-position model. The record is from RNAcentral.
GACGAACGCUGGCGGCGUGCUUAACACAUGCAAGUCGAACGGAAAGGCCCUGCUUUUGUUGGUUGCUCGAGUGGCGAACGGGUGAGGUACACGUGAGUAGCCUGACCUUCACUUUGGUAUAACUUCAGGGAACUGGGGCGAAUCCCGUAUAGGAGCUCCUGCUUCAUUGUGGGGGUUGGUCAGUUUCGGCGGUUGUGGAUGGACUCGAGGCGUAUGAGCCUGUUGGUGGGGUAGUUGCUGAGCAAGGCUUUGAUGGGUAGACGGCCUGAGAGGGUUACCGGCACCAUCGGGACUGAGAUACGGCCCAGACGCCGACGGGAGGGAGCAGUGGGGAAUAGUGCACAACGGGCGGAAGGCUGAUGCAGCAGCGCCGCGUGCGGGAUGACGGCCUUCGGGUUGUAAACCGCUUCUGCCUGGGAUGAAGCGGGAGUGACGGUAAUGGGUAAAGAAGCACCGGCUAACUACGUG